AACGAACGCUGGCGGCAUGCCUAACACAUGCAAGUCGAACGAGACCUUCGGGUCUAGUGGCGCACGGGUGCGUAACGCGUGGGAACCUGCCCUUAGGUUCGGAAUAACUCCCCGAAAGGGGUGCUAAUACCGGAUAAUGUCUUCGGACCAAAGAUUUAUCGCCUUUGGAUGGGCCCGCGUUGGAUUAGCUAGUUGGUAGGGUAAAAGCCUACCAAGGCGACGAUCCAUAGCUGGUCUGAGAGGAUGAUCAGCCACAAUGGAACUGAGACACGGCCCAGACUCCUACGGGAGGCAGCAGUGGGGAAUAUUGGACAAUGGGCGAAAGCCUGAUCCAGCAAUGCCGCGUGAGUGAUGAAGGCCUUAGGGUUGUAAAGCUCUUUUACCCGGGAUGAUAAUGACAGUACCGAGAGAAUAAGCUCCGGCUAACUCCGUG
This 433-nucleotide ribosomal RNA is filed under the name uncultured bacterium. Its description in RNAcentral is "partial 16S ribosomal RNA". It matches the Rfam family "Bacterial small subunit ribosomal RNA", at positions 29 to 507 of the family's 1533-position model. The record is from RNAcentral.